This 309-nucleotide unclassified non-coding RNA is filed under the name uncultured fungus. RNAcentral's name for it is "partial contains 5.8S ribosomal RNA, internal transcribed spacer 2, and large subunit ribosomal RNA". The record is from RNAcentral. Lineage: Eukaryota; Fungi.
AACGCAACUUGCGCCCGAGGCUUCGGCCGAGGGCAUGUCUGCCUCAGCGUCGGUAUACCCCCUCGCGGUCCCAUCCGCGGAUCUGGCCCUCUCGGCUGCUCUCCCCCCGGGAGACCUGCAGCCGGGUCGGCUGAAGCCCAGAGGCUCGAGCAUGGACCCCGCUUGCAGGGCGAUGGCUUGGUAGGUAGGUCUCCUACUCCACUGCCGCCGCCCGAGGGGUUUUUGCUGGCGGCCCCGCAGGAAUCCCGGCUUUGCCGGGAUGCUUUCACCUUCGACCUGAGCUCAGGCAAGAUUACCCGCUGAACUUAA